AAUAUUUCAUCCUUACCUUCCAUAGUGAAAAAUCUCCCGUGCCAUCAAAGACAGCCACUUCAUGCCUGACGGUGGUGGAGUGAGAGACAGAUACCGGAUCAUUAGCCAUUGAGAAACUUGGUUUCUUAUCACCAGCCAUCCAAGAGCUCUGAUACCAAUUGUUGUAGAAACGCGCACCGGAUUGGAUCGAUCUGGGCUUGUGAUCUAAUAUCUAAUUUCUUUGAGACAAAUCACCAAACACAUUGCAGGCAUAAAUAAACAAAGACAAAGAACCAAGAUUUACGUGGUUCGGCACAAAAGGCCUACAUCCACGGAGAGGAGGAGCAAUCCACUAUAUAUCCAUCCCGAAAUUUAGGUACAAUAUGAGGUAUAAAAUACCUUUUUCCGAAAUCAACAAGAAGGCAACAAAAUAUCGAAUAUAAGGCAACCAAGAUCCAAUAGGAUCAACCAAUCUCAGCCUCGGCAAUAGAUCAAGAUAAAACAAUACCUGAGAUGAAGAUACCUUCCUCAACCCUCGGCAAAAAAUCAAGAUGAUACCUCCUUACCAGCUGUAGCAGCACAAGGUGUCCGUGAAACCGAGAAAGAAGAAGACAGGUAAAUCACCAACUGAAGGCCAACAGAAGAAAGCCAGAAAGCAACCCGCACACGAGGCACGGCCGAGAGAUCGCCCAGAGAACAGGCCAGCACCGAAGCACAAGCAAGAGAGAUCGACCAGAGAACAGAACCCGCGCAUAAGAGAGGCACAGGUUAGAGAUCGGCCAGAGAACAGGACCUGCGCACAAGAGGCACAGGUGAGAGGUCGGCUCACAGGUGAGAGGUCGACCCGAGAACAGAACCCGCGCACAAGAGGCACAGGUUAGAAAAAAUCCCGCACAAGAAACCCUAGAAAAAUCUCCGCCCGAUCUUACCUCCGUUCUACCAAGAAAGGAUGCCAGUGGCCUCCUUAUAAAGGAAGAAAGCCUUCUUAAAAAAUAGAGUUUGAGUCGAUGUAGUAUUCCCAAGUGUCACGGGAGAUGGAUAUGAUUUGGAGCCAAAUAUAACAGUGGCAUUUAACUAUCCAUUAGAAAUAUACUCUCUUUAUUUCAUAUGCCAAAAAUCCAUUAGACAAAAAACUAAGGAAUGUUUCUCUCGGGCUUAUGGGGUAUGCCACUUUUUAUGAGGGGCCUUACAUUGCUUAAUGGAAAUGGGAGCCUCCAAGGUUUAAUACUAUGAGUAGUCAUCUCCUCACACAUACAGUGGGAUGGCUUGUUCUGCAAGUAGUACAAUUGUUUCUGAUAAGUCCUGGCUAUAUAUGUAGUUUCAGCCACCUUGUUAAUAGAAUUAUUUGCUCUGUGGUCUCCAAAUGCAACUCCUUGCUUUGCGGAUCCCUAGUUAUUCUUCUUAACUAUUGAUCUUUGCUCUCCAAAGGCUAAUCUGUUGUUGUAGUCACUUGCCAUUUGUAAAUGGUUCUCUUUGAUAAAUCACAACUAAGU
This 1472-nucleotide long non-coding RNA is filed under the name Elaeis guineensis (African oil palm). RNAcentral describes it as "long non-coding RNA (EGUI_LNC080022)". The record is from RNAcentral. Lineage: Eukaryota; Viridiplantae; Streptophyta; Magnoliopsida; Arecales; Arecaceae.